GUCCUACGGGGCGCAGCAGUGGGGAAUAUUGCACAAUGGGGGGAACCCUGAUGCAGCGACGCCGCGUGAGUGAAGAAGUAUUUCGGUAUGUAAACCGCUUUCAGCAGGGAAGAGACAGACGGUACCUGCAGAAGAAGCCCCGGCUAACUACGUGCCAGCAGCCGCGGUAAUACGUAGGGGGCGAGCGUUAUCCGGAUUCAUUGGGCGUAAAGCGCGCACAGGCGGACCGUUAAGCGGGACCUCUAAUCCUGGGGCUCAACCUCAGGCCGGGUCCCGAACUGGCGGUCUCGCGGGCGGUAGGGGAG
RNAcentral lists this ribosomal RNA (305 nucleotides) under uncultured bacterium. RNAcentral describes it as "bacterial SSU rRNA". It matches the Rfam family "Bacterial small subunit ribosomal RNA", at positions 335 to 659 of the family's 1533-position model. The record is from RNAcentral.